RNAcentral lists this ribosomal RNA (206 nucleotides) under Klebsiella aerogenes. RNAcentral's name for it is "partial 23S ribosomal RNA". It matches the Rfam family "Bacterial large subunit ribosomal RNA", at positions 2743 to 2925 of the family's 2925-position model. Lineage: Bacteria; Pseudomonadati; Pseudomonadota; Gammaproteobacteria; Enterobacterales; Enterobacteriaceae. The record is from RNAcentral.
CGGUAGCUAAAUGCGGAAGAGAUAAGUGCUGAAAGCAUCUAAGCACGAAACUUGCCCCGAGAUGAGUUCUCCCUGACUCCUUGAGAGUCCUGAAGGAACGUUAAAGACGAUGACGUUGAUAGGUCGGGUGUGUAAGCGUAGCGAUACGUUGAGCUAACCGAUACUAAUGAACCGUGAGGCUUAACCUUACAACGCCGAAGGUGUUU